UGGAGGUAUCAGAAGUGCGAAUGCUGACAUAAGUAACGAUAAAGCGGGUGAAAAGCCCGCUCGCCGGAAGACCAAGGGUUCCUGUCCAACGUUAAUCGGGGCAGGGUGAGUCGACCCCUAAGGCGAGGCCGAAAGGCGUAGUCGAUGGGAAACGGGUUAAUAUUCCCGUACUUGGUGUUACUGCGAAGGGGGGACGGAGAAGGCUAUGUUGGCCGGGCGACGGUUGUCCCGGUUUAAGCGUGUAGGUGUGUGUUCCAGGUAAAUCCGGUUCACUUUAACACUGAGGCGUGACGACGAGGCACUACGGUGCUGAAGCAACAAAUGCCCUGCUUCCAGGAAAAGCCUCUAAGCAUCAGGUAACACGAAAUCGUACCCCAAACCGACACAGGUGGUCAGGUAGAGAAUACCAAGGCGCUUGAGAGAACUCGGGUGAAGGAACUAGGCAAAAUGGUGCCGUAACUUCGGGAGAAGGCACGCUGACACGUAGGUGAAGUGAUUUACUCAUGGAGCUGAAGUCAGUCGAAGAUACCAGCUGGCUGCAACUGUUUAUUAAAAACACAGCACUGUGCAAACACGAAAGUGGACGUAUACGGUGUGACGCCUGCCCGGUGCCGGAAGGUUAAUUGAUGGGGUCAGCGCAAGCGAAGCUCCUGAUCGAAGCCCCGGUAAACGGCGGCCGUAACUAUAACGGUCCUAAGGUAGCGAAAUUCCUUGUCGGGUAAGUUCCGACCUGCACGAAUGGCGUAAUGAUGGCCAGGCUGUCUCCACCCGAGACUCAGUGAAAUUGAACUCGCUGUGAAGAUGCAGUGUACCCGCGGCAAGACGGAAAGACCCCGUGAACCUUUACUAUAGCUUGACACUGAACAUUGAGCCUUGAUGUGUAGGAUAGGUGGGAGGCUUUGAAGUGUGGACGCCAGUCUGCAUGGAGCCGACCUUGAAAUACCACCCUUUAAUGUUUGAUGUUCUAACGUGGACCCGUAAUCCGGGUUGCGGACAGUGUCUGGUGGGUAGUUUGACUGGGGCGGUCUCCUCCUAAAGAGUAACGGAGGAGCACGAAGGUUGGCUAAUCCUGGUCGGACAUCAGGAGGUUAGUGCAAUGGCAUAAGCCAGCUUGACUGCGAGCGUGACGGCGCGAGCAGGUGCGAAAGCAGGUCAUAGUGAUCCGGUGGUUCUGAAUGGAAGGGCCAUCGCUCAACGGAUAAAAGGUACUCCGGGGAUAACAGGCUGAUACCGCCCAAGAGUUCAUAUCGACGGCGGUGUUUGGCACCUCGAUGUCGGCUCAUCACAUCCUGGGGCUGAAGUAGGUCCCAAGGGUAUGGCUGUUCGCCAUUUAAAGUGGUACGCGAGCUGGGUUUAGAACGUCGUGAGACAGUUCGGUCCCUAUCUGCCGUGGGCGCUGGAGAACUGAGGGGGGCUGCUCCUAGUACGAGAGGACCGGAGUGGACGCAUCACUGGUGUUCGGGUUGUCAUGCCAAUGGCACUGCCCGGUAGCUAAAUGCGGAAGAGAUAAGUGCUGAAAGCAUCUAAGCACGAAACUUGCCCCGAGAUGAGUUCUCCCUGAGAC
RNAcentral lists this ribosomal RNA (1564 nucleotides) under Salmonella enterica subsp. enterica serovar Typhimurium. RNAcentral describes it as "bacterial LSU rRNA". It matches the Rfam family "Bacterial large subunit ribosomal RNA", at positions 1274 to 2821 of the family's 2925-position model. The record is from RNAcentral. Lineage: Bacteria; Pseudomonadati; Pseudomonadota; Gammaproteobacteria; Enterobacterales; Enterobacteriaceae.